AAAAAAUGGCAAAAGCAUUCCAACUUUUGUCAAAAAUAUCGACUCUUUAAUUUUUAACAGCAAUUAAUUUUUCAGUGCUGUAUAAAGGUUUUAUUUUACUUUGCACUGCCUGCAUUGUUAAAGCUUUCUUAGAAUAUUUGCAGUUGAAAAUAUAUUGUUUUGUCUGCAUAUAUAUCAAAUUUGCAGCAUUCCCCCUUAGUGAUUUUUUAAUAUCCCCAAAUAGAAAAUAUUUUAUGGUAAAUGGAACAUAUAU
This 253-nucleotide long non-coding RNA is filed under the name Mytilus galloprovincialis (Mediterranean mussel). The record is from RNAcentral. Lineage: Eukaryota; Metazoa; Mollusca; Bivalvia; Mytilida; Mytilidae.